This is a long non-coding RNA of Scomber scombrus (Atlantic mackerel), 2258 nucleotides long. RefSeq lists it as uncharacterized. The record is from RefSeq and is a predicted model, not a curated record. The transcript is spliced from 4 exons. Lineage: Eukaryota; Metazoa; Chordata; Actinopteri; Scombriformes; Scombridae.
GUUAGGCUUUACUGUCGAAUGUUCCUGAAGACACGUUUUUUCACGGAGCCCAAGGAAAACACUUUACUGAACUCAUGUAAGUAACAAUUUAUAUUGUUAAAAGUCAGAUUUUGCCAGAAUUGAAAUGUAUAAAUUUGCAAUUUGCAAAAGCAUGGCUUAAUGUUAUAUUUUGUGUACUACUUUUGCCCGUCGUCGACCGCCAUUUCAAAUGUGCUCUUACCUACAACAGCUCAUUAACUUCAACCAAACACCGUUUAUACCUGUGCAGUUUUUAAUUAGCGUUUUCUUUGCGUGGUAAUUUAAUAUGUUAAAGAUAUAGUGACUUGUACAAAAAACUAUCAGCGCUUCGACGUCGUAUUUGGCAGUGUAGGCUGCCACACACACACUGUACAAUUAGCGCGAUAUCAGCGCAUUUACUGUUAGCGGUCAAGCGCGCUGUGUGUGUGUGUGUGUGUGUGUGUGUGUGUGUGUGUGUGUGUGUGUGUGUGUGUGUGUGUGUGUGUGUGUGUGUGUGUGUGUGUGUGUGUGUGUGUGUGUGUGUGUGUGUGUGUGGUGUGACCGCACGCACGCUACAGAGACGGCAGUUGGAGGGGCUGACUGGCAGAGAUGAGAAAUGGUGAAACCUGUUUAUUUUUAUUUUUUUCUUUCUGUGAGAGACUGUUGCGGGCCUAAUGGGAAACACUGAGGUUGCUGUAUGGUAUUUUUGUAGGCCAACCCGGAAGUUAUCAUCACUCUGGCUCCUUUUGACAGGAAGUCAUUUGGGUGUUUACAUCAUGUUUUGAAUUUAAGGAAAGAUGGCCUGCCCUCUUCGAACCAUUCCAGAUUAAUGAAGAGUUCCGAAGGUGCACUGCUGUUCCACUGGAAUCAACAUUUAUGUCCCAGCUGGACAGGUACACUCCAAAGCUCCUGGAGCUCUUCAGUGCAAAAGGAGGAGUGACUGGUCAGCGCAUCAAGAACUUGUUGAUGGAACAGAUACAGGACCCAAGUGAUGAAGAGAGAUGUGACUCUGAGAUGCCUCACAGAGUACAUGGGAGAGAGUGGACAGGAGCUAAUCUCUGACUACUGUGGAACUGCAGAGACCACUGUUCAUGAGGACCUGAAAAUGAAGAAUAUGCGCAUCUACAUCUGUCGUGAGCCAAAUGCAGUAGGAAUCAUCAUUGAGGGAGUACCAGUUCUUACUCAUCUUGGAAACCUGGCCAAAGCAUGCUGCCUACUCCUGGGGUUGACAUAUGCACUUAAUCUUGAGUAUCCGUCCAAACUUUCCAAAACAUUUGAGGUGUUUCAAAGACUUUUUGUGGGACUGGACACACUGCGCCCAAAACCAACCCCCAAAUUCAUGACUCUCAAAAACAAGCUUCUAGCUUAGGCAGUCAGCCAUGAAUGUCAGCUUGCACUUAUGAACAGCUAUUUUCUUGUCUGUUCAAAAUCAUUAUACAUUGUACACUGAGUGGAACUCUUCAGAAUGUUGUAACCGUUUGUCCUGUUCAGGUUUUAUACAAAGCUGCAAGUCAUCGUUUCUGGUGUGUAAAUUGUUAAGUUUUUUAUGUUUUAUACACACUAAACUGUGAAGCUGCAACUGGUCAAAAGGUGGGAUCUGUGAGUUGUUUAUAUGAUGUACACAGUAAAAAUGUACUCUGAAUAAUCAUUGCCACUGUUUGGAUAUGGCUUGUGAAGUUUUUAUAUUAUGUACAUGGUAAACAAACAACAACAAAAAAACUGCUGUGAAGGCGUUCAAAUGUUUAAUUAAUAAUAUGUACACAGUAUUUAAAAAAUAAUAAUCUGCAGGUCUUUUUUUAUGUUUUAUACACACAAAUUGCCCCACUGUGAAGCUCCAGCUGGUCACAAGGAGGGAUCUGUGAGUUGUUUAAGUUAAAAUGUUUUAAAAUAUACACACUGAAAGACACUACUGUGAAGGGGUUCUGCUUGUGAAUUGUUACAGAAGUACAGAUAAUCUUAAUGUUAAAUUGUUUUAGUAAGAAACUUUACUGUGAAUGUUCAAAGUAAAACUUGAAAUGCUGAGGUCAUGCAUUCUUUUAUGCACUAAAUACUGAUGUUCUUGACUGUUAAUACUGUCCAGCUUAUUGACACGGUUUGGAUAUGGCUUGUGAAAAUGUUUUAAUAUAUACGGUAAAAAAAAAACUUCUGUGAAGGUGUUCUAUACAGCACUUUAAAAAGUUGAGGUCAUGCAUUCUAUGCACUAAAUAUGUAUGUUGACUGUUCAUACUGUCCAGCUCAUUGCCACUGUUUUGAUAUGGUAA